AGCCUCGCCGGCGGGGUCGGGGUGAGGCGGCCGCGGUUCCUAUGCCUGCAUAGCUUCCGGACCAACGACGAGAUCCUGAAGUAGGUACUGACAAAGUGGCCAGCCGAGGUCACGACGCGCCUUGACCUCGUCUUGAUUGACGUGCCCUUCCCCGCUGAGGGCAAGUCCAAUAUCGACGGCAUCUUUGACCCAACCUACUACGACUGGUUCUAG
RNAcentral lists this ribosomal RNA (213 nucleotides) under Triticum aestivum (bread wheat). RNAcentral's name for it is "partial small subunit ribosomal RNA". The record is from RNAcentral. Lineage: Eukaryota; Viridiplantae; Streptophyta; Magnoliopsida; Poales; Poaceae.